This 219-nucleotide ribosomal RNA is filed under the name uncultured bacterium. RNAcentral describes it as "partial 16S ribosomal RNA". It matches the Rfam family "Bacterial small subunit ribosomal RNA", at positions 122 to 334 of the family's 1533-position model. The record is from RNAcentral.
CAAUCUGCCCUUCAGAGGGAAACAACCUGCCGAAAGGCGGGCUAAUGUCCCGUAAGACCACGAGAUGGCAUCAUCAGGAGGUCAAAGCUCCGCAAGGGGCGCUGGAGGAGGAGCCCGAAUCCUAUCAUGGUAGUUGGUGAGGUAACGGCUCACCAAGCCUUCGACGGGUAGCCGGCCUGAAAGGGUGAUCGGCCACACUGGCACUGAGACACGGGCCAG